Molecule: long non-coding RNA, 389 nt
Filed under: Olea europaea (common olive)
Lineage: Eukaryota; Viridiplantae; Streptophyta; Magnoliopsida; Lamiales; Oleaceae
Description: long non-coding RNA (OEUR_LNC006301)
Source: RNAcentral
CCAUGUCACCUAAGCUGAAUUCAUUUCUUGUAUUAAAUUAGAAUGAAGAAAAUUCCAUACUGAUGGAUCACAUUAAUUAUUGAGGACUACUGGCCAUAAUUAAGCAAAAUAUCCCCCUGUUUCCAUAUCAUCCCCAACGGUCGCAUUGAUUGGCGUCCCGGAGUUUGCUCCUUAGAGAGGCCGGGGGUGUGGGUCGUGGGGUUGGGUUAAGCAAAUUAGCCAUACGGUCCAUCGAAAACAUAAAAGCAGGCAGUGUUUGUUUCCAUUCGAUAAUUUUGGCUUUACCGGAGAAUCCAAGAGCUUGAUUAAGAAGAGAGACAGGGAAGGGUUGCUUUUCUUGUGGGUGGAUGAAGAUUUGGUGAAGAAAAAAAAAAAAAAAAAAAAAAAAU